GUGCCGCGUGGGGAGGCUGCGUGGGGAGGGCCAGCGGGCUGCGGGCAGCUUCUCCUCCUCUAGGACCCCCGCCCCCUGUUCCCGAGCAGCAGGCUGCACAGGUGCGGCAGGCAGGGCUCUGAGCAGGGUGGGGGACCUGCCCGUCCGCCUCUGGGGGGCCUGCGGGGUGGCCGGACUUACUCGGGUAGCGGUAGUAGAAUUCGUUCUCCAUGUCGCUGGUGGUGUUCUCAUCCCCCUGACUGCCGAUCCAGUGGGGGUCGGCAUCGAGGUCGUAGCGCACGAACACGCCGAAGAGGACCACCAGGGCCACCUGCAGGAGCAGGCAGGUGACCGGCAGCCGCCAGCGCAGAUUGGUGUUCCAGAUCAUGCUGCAGGGGGCGCCUGGCCGGGAGGGCAGCGGGCAGUUCGGCCGUCGGGAGGCGGAGGGAGAGGCUUAUAAGACCCGGGCAGGGGCGGGGCGGCCGCGUGGGGUGGCGGAACAGCUGACCCGGGUGCCGCCCGCGCGCUCGCCCAACCGGCAAGGGGAGCCUCGGGCUCGGGGCUCGCCUGCCCUCGGGAGCCCCCGCAGCUCCCGGCGUCGGGACCGGGGGCACAGCGGCAGGGGGCGGGGGCGGUGGGCAGGGACCCAGGAGCCCCGACCUCUGCGCAUCCCAUCGGUACCGCGCAGCGUGCCUUUCCCCUUUUGGUCCUGGGACCCGAGACAGAAAAAGCCAGAUUAUCUGCCUCCCCCGCCCCCAAGAGAAACAGAGAGGAAUUCCUAGAUAGUGAUCGUGAUCACCGCCAUCACCACCGUCCCUUUUUUUUUUUCUUCUGGUCACAGAAGUCAUGUAGGGUCCAUGAAAAACCAGGAAAGUCUAAGAACUGGCCUACACCACAGAAGCCUGGAGAGCCGUGACAACUCAGUGCUGAGCAUGUGGUACCACGGAAGUGAGGAUGCAGAGGAAGAAGGAUGAAAGAAGGGGAGAAGAAUAUUCUUUGAGUACCAACUGUGUUCCAGGCACUGUUCUAGGUGCUGGGAGGUCAAUCGUUGUCCACAUGGAAGUUGCUGGGGGGAGGGGCUGCCUGACAAAAGCAAACCAAUAGAGAAGUACACGAUGAUUCCAGGCCACAUCCCCAUCCUAACCUGGUACUUCCUGUGACCACCAACAGGCUGGAAUUCUGGGCUCAUCCCGAGACCAGGGUUCAAGAAACUGGCUGCUCAGGUCCCCAGUGGUUUGCACACAUCUAGAUGAUGCACCAUGGUCAGACUGGGGUGGAGUGAAAAGGGAACCCUACUUGGAAAGAUUACAGUUCCUGUCUCCAGUCCCCAUGGUAUGACAGACUCCUGCACUUGACUGUGUAUUUGAAAUAAGGGUAGCAGCAUGAUUUUAAAGACAAAGAAGCAGAACCUAAGCUUAUAAUCCGAACAUGGCAGGUGGAUCGGCGUGCCCAGGAGGGGCCCUUGGCAGAAGUGAGAGCAGUGAGAAAGAUCUCUGAACACCUUCCUGCUCCCUCCCAUCUCGGCUUAAUGUGGCUCCAGGAGCUGAGCAGUGACAGAGACCUACCUAAUCACAUCUGUCCAGCACAUGAAGAGCUGUUUGCCAACAGAGCGAGAAGACAAGAUUUUAAUCUUCAUUUUUUAAAUCCUUAGGGAUAAAGCAAAUGACCCUGGAUUAAAAGCAGCAGGAAGGAUCUGGGCUCCAAAUCAGGAAGAAUUGCCAAACCGGCAGUGAGAACGCGGAACUUGGGCAUGACCCGGCAGGAGCGGUGGACAGGCCCCUACUGGGAAGUCCUGAGCACAAAGGCAAUUCCUGAGUCAGCUGGAUUUAUGGGCCGAGGCGGAGCCUAACCCUGGAGGGAUGGCCUACCACCGUUGCCGGGCCAGGCUUCGUGGAGAAGCAAAGGAGACGCUCACGCCUUCAGUAAGGAGGGCACACGGGGUCCCUAAGAGCUAGCCUUCUCCCCGCUUCUGUGGUCCUGAGCAGCCGCUGUGGUAUAAGUCACUCCAUGAUGUCUCCUGAGUUUCAGUGUGGCUGGCUUCUGGAUUGUGGCCACAUGUGUCUGGAGAACUAUGUUCCUGGUUCAAGUCCCAGAGAAAGGCAGGAAGGUGGGCGGACCCAGGUGGCUAAGGACGAGUUUGGGCUGGGCACAGGAUGGGGAGAUCAGGUGGUAAAUUACUCCGAGCUCUUGGCUGCAAACAACAGACCCCGCUGUGGCGAGUGUGAACAGAAAAGGCUUUCGGGAGCCCCUGAGAAUCGCUGUGAGGACGCCAGGCCAGGUUGGAGAGCUGGGACAAGGCAGAGCUGCUGUGAGGAGAUGUCACUGCCAUCCCGAUGGAGUGUGGGCCACGUGUGGCUGCUUGCAGGGCUGUUGCUGCCUAGGGCAGUGGGGGCUUCUGACACCCUCCCCCCAAACUGGCCCUCACUUCCCAACUCGUGAUCGGUGGACACCAGUCACACGUCUAUGCCCCUACUGCAAAGGAAGCCGGGAAGGUACGUUUCUGGUUUCUACUUUAGGGAGACAUAAACUCAAAAGGUAGAGGCAUCCCCAAAUAAGAAAAGUGUGUGUGGGUGGGCAAGUAGAAUGAUAAAUGUUCACACGUAAUCAGUGAUCUCACAUCACAUGAUUAAGGCAUCCCACCCCCCACCCCCCCUCGGGCGCCAACCGCACUGCCUUGAGAAAGUCCCCUGGGCCCUGACCCACUGCCUGGGUCCUCAGAUACUCACUCUGCACUCCUAAAGCUGGUCCUGAGUCCUUACCAGGAGCCUUCAUUCUCUGUGUAACUCAGAGGUAUGGCUUAAUUGUUGCUCGUAUGUUUGGUUGGAUCUUUGGGUUUUUUUAAGUUUAUUUAUUUUGAGAGAGAGAGAGAGAG
Molecule: long non-coding RNA, 2851 nt
Organism: Acinonyx jubatus (cheetah)
Lineage: Eukaryota; Metazoa; Chordata; Mammalia; Carnivora; Felidae
Exons: 9
Source: RefSeq, a predicted model, not a curated record